Molecule: ribosomal RNA, 1463 nt
Filed under: uncultured bacterium
Lineage: Bacteria
Description: bacterial SSU rRNA
Rfam family: Bacterial small subunit ribosomal RNA
Source: RNAcentral
AACGAACGCUGGCAGCGUGGAUUAGGCAUGCAAGUCGAACGGGAUCCGGAGGGUAGCAAUAUUCUCUGGUGAGAGUGGCGGAUUGGCGAGGAACACGUGAGCAACCUGCCCUGGAGACGGGGAAAACCGUUGGAAACGGCGGCUAAUACCGGAUGUGGCGUCUGGAGACAUCUCUGGAACGCUAAAGGGGGCCAAAAGCUCCCGCUUUAGGAGGGGCUCGCGCAUCAUCAGCUUGUUGGCGGGGUAACGGCCCACCAAGGCUUACGAUUAGCUGGUCUGAGAGGAUGACCAGCCGCACUGGGACUGAGAUACUGCCCAGACUCCUACGGGAGGCUGCAGUCGAGGAUCAUUCGCAAUGGACGAAAGUCUGACGAUGCGACGCUGCGUGGAGGAUGAAGGCCUUCGGGUCGUAAACUCCUGUCAUGAGGGAAAAGGCGGGGGCGGCUAAUACCCGCUUUAGUUGAUUGUACUUCAAGAGGAAGGGACGGCUAACUCUGUGCCAGCAGCCGCGGUAAUACAGAGGUCCCUAGCGUUGUUCGGAUUUACUGGGCGUAAAGGGCGCGUAGGCGGCGUGCUAAGUCGGAUGUGAAAUCUCCGGGCUCAACCCGGAAAGUGCGUCCGAAACUGGCAUGCUGGAGUACGGGAGAGGGAAGGGAAUAUAGGGGGGGGAAGCGGGGAAAUGGCGUUGAUAUCCUAUAGAACACCGGAGGCGAAGGCGCCUUCCUGGAACGUUACUGACGCUAAGGCGCGAAAGUCGGGGGAGCAAACAGGAUUAGAUACCCUGGUAGUCCCGACCUUAAACGGUGCACACUAGGGGUGGGGCCCAUUCACCGGUCCCGUCCCUUAGCUAACGCGUUAAGUGUGCCGCCUGGGGAGUACGGCCGCAAGGCUAAAACUCAAAGAAAUUGACGGGGGCCCGCACAAGCAGAGGAGCAUGUGGCUUAAUUCGAUGCAACGCGAAGAACCUUACCUGGGUUUGACAUCGUCGGCAAUGCCUUUGGAAACAUAGGCGGAGGUUAUCCGAUAGACAGGUGCUGCAUGGCUGUCGUCAGUUCGUGCCGUGAGGUGUUUGGUUAAGUCCACCAACGAACGCAACCCCUUAUCCGUGUUGCCAGCGGUUCGGCCGGGAACUCGCGGAUGACUGCCUGUUUACGCAGGAGGAAGGUGGGGAUGACGUCAAGUCAGUAUGGCCCUUACACCCAGGGCUGCACACGUGCUACAAUGGCCGGUACAGAGGGAAGCGAAACCGCAAGGCGGAGCAAACCCCAUAGAGCCGGCCUCAGUUCAGAUCGGGGUCUGCAACCCGACCCCGUGAAGUCGGAUUUGCUAGUAACGGCGCAUCAGCAUUUGGUGCCGUGAAUGCGUUCCCGGGCCUUGUACACACCGCCCGUCACAUCAUGAAAGCCGUCUGCACCCGAAGUCUGGCGUUAGUCAGCCUAAGGUGUGGGUGGUGAUUGGGAUGA